ACCCGCUGAACUUAAGCAUAUCAAUAAGCGGAGGAAAAGAAACCAACAGGGAUUGUCUUAGUAACGGCGAGUGAAGCGACAAAAGCUCAAAUUUGAAAUCUGGCACCUUCGGUGUCCGAGUUGUAAUUUGAAGAAGGUAACUUUGGAGUUGGCUCUUGUCUAUGUUCCUUGGAACAGGACGUCACAGAGGGUGAGAAUCCCGUGCGAUGAGAUGUCCAACUCUAUGUAAAGUGCUUUCGAAGAGUCGAGUUGUUUGGGAAUGCAGCUCUAAGUGGGUGGUAAAUUCCAUCUAAAGCUAAAUAUUGGCGAGAGACCGAUAGCGAACAAGUACAGUGAUGGAAAGAUGAAAAGAACUUUGAAAAGAGAGUGAAAAAGUACGUGAAAUUGUUGAAAGGGAAGGGUUUGAGAUCAGACUUGGUAUUUUGUAUGUCUUGCUUUCGGGUGGGGCCUCUGCAGUUUACUGGGCCAGCAUCGGUUUGGACGGUAGGAUAAUGACAUUGGAAUGUGGCACUACUUCGGUGGUGUGUUAUAGACUUUGUUGAUACUGCCUGUCUAGACCGAGGACUGCG
Molecule: ribosomal RNA, 569 nt
Filed under: Scheffersomyces shehatae
Lineage: Eukaryota; Fungi; Ascomycota; Pichiomycetes; Serinales; Debaryomycetaceae
Also listed under: 2 other names
Description: eukaryotic LSU rRNA
Rfam family: Eukaryotic large subunit ribosomal RNA
Source: RNAcentral